RNAcentral lists this ribosomal RNA (752 nucleotides) under Microbacterium paraoxydans. RNAcentral describes it as "bacterial SSU rRNA". It matches the Rfam family "Bacterial small subunit ribosomal RNA", at positions 737 to 1486 of the family's 1533-position model. Lineage: Bacteria; Bacillati; Actinomycetota; Actinomycetes; Micrococcales; Microbacteriaceae. RNAcentral also lists the same sequence under 1 other name. The record is from RNAcentral.
UAACUGACGUUGAGGAGCGAAGGGGUGGGGAGCAAACAGGCUUAGAUACCCGGUAGUCCACCCCGUAAAACGUUGGGAACUAGUUGUGGGGUCCAUUCCACGGAUUCCGUGACGCAGCUAACGCAUUAAGUUCCCCGCCUGGGGAGUACGGCCGCAAGGCUAAAACUCAAAGGAAUUGACGGGGACCCGCACAAGCGGCGGAGCAUGCGGAUUAAUUCGAUGCAACGCGAAGAACCUUACCAAGGCUUGACAUAUACGAGAACGGGCCAGAAAUGGUCAACUCUUUGGACACUCGUAAACAGGUGGUGCAUGGUUGUCGUCAGCUCGUGUCGUGAGAUGUUGGGUUAAGUCCCGCAACGAGCGCAACCCUCGUUCUAUGUUGCCAGCACGUAAUGGUGGGAACUCAUGGGAUACUGCCGGGGUCAACUCGGAGGAAGGUGGGGAUGACGUCAAAUCAUCAUGCCCCUUAUGUCUUGGGCUUCACGCAUGCUACAAUGGCCGGUACAAAGGGCUGCAAUACCGUGAGGUGGAGCGAAUCCCAAAAAGCCGGUCCCAGUUCGGAUUGAGGUCUGCAACUCGACCUCAUGAAGUCGGAGUCGCUAGUAAUCGCAGAUCAGCAACGCUGCGGUGAAUACGUUCCCGGGUCUUGUACACACCGCCCGUCAAGUCAUGAAAGUCGGUAACACCUGAAGCCGGUGGCCUAACCCUUGUGGAGGGAGCCGUCGAAGGUGGGAUCGUAAUUAGGACUAAGU